GGAUCAUCAGGUUGGUCGUGCCACUGGUAUGUACUAGCUUUGGUGGUUCCUCCCUCUUGAAGAACCGUAAUGUCAUUAACUUGAUGUUGCGGGGAAUCAGGACUGUUACUUUGAAAAAAUUAGAGUGUUUAAAGCAGGCAAACGCUUGAAUACAUUAGCAUGGAAUAAUGAAAUAGGACGUUUGAUCUUAUUUUGUUGGUUUCUAGGAUCGACGUA
Molecule: ribosomal RNA, 216 nt
Filed under: uncultured Glomus
Lineage: Eukaryota; Fungi; Glomeromycota; Glomeromycetes; Glomerales; Glomeraceae
Description: partial small subunit ribosomal RNA
Rfam family: Eukaryotic small subunit ribosomal RNA (bases 39-216)
Source: RNAcentral